Molecule: transfer RNA, 84 nt
Filed under: Echinostoma caproni
Lineage: Eukaryota; Metazoa; Platyhelminthes; Trematoda; Plagiorchiida; Echinostomatidae
Rfam family: tRNA
About the family: Transfer RNA (tRNA) molecules are approximately 80 nucleotides in length. Their secondary structure includes four short double-helical elements and three loops (D, anti-codon, and T loops).
Source: Rfam by way of RNAcentral
GGCCUCGUAGUUCAGCUGGUAGAACGCGCGCUGUACGAAAGCGCAGGCGACGUCCAUGCGUGGGUUCCAAUCCCACCGAGACUA